CGGAACGAGGGUGGUCUCCCAGUCUUCGGGAGGCAGGGGUCGGAGGUUCGAAUCCUCUCACUCCGACCA
This 69-nucleotide transfer RNA is filed under the name Maritimibacter sp. RNAcentral describes it as "tRNA-Pro". The record is from RNAcentral. Lineage: Bacteria; Pseudomonadati; Pseudomonadota; Alphaproteobacteria; Rhodobacterales; Roseobacteraceae.